RNAcentral lists this small RNA (1182 nucleotides) under uncultured bacterium. RNAcentral's name for it is "bacterial SSU rRNA". The stretch from base 1 to 488 matches the Rfam family "Bacterial small subunit ribosomal RNA", at positions 1045 to 1533 of the family's 1533-position model. The record is from RNAcentral.
AUGGCUGUCGUCAGCUCGUGUCGUGAGAUGUUAGGUUAAGUCCUGCAACGAGCGCAACCCCUAUAUUUAGUUGCCAGCACAUAAUGGUGGGGACUCUAAAUAGACUGCCCGGAAUAACCGGGAGGAAGGUGGGGAUGAUGUCAAGUCAGUAUGUCCCUUAUACCCAGGGCUACACACGUGUUACAAUGGAUGGUACAAAAAGUAGCAAUUCCGCGAGGAGGAGCCAAUCUUUAAAACUAUCCCCAGUUCAGAUUGAAGUCUGAAAUUCGACUUCAUGAAGCAGGAAUCGCUAGUAAUCGUAGGUCAGCACACUACGGUGAAUACGUUCCCGGGUCUUGUACACACCGCCCGUCAAGUCAUGGAAGUCUGCAGUACCCAAAGAUAGUAUUCUAACCGCAAGGAGGAAGCUGUUUAAGGUAAGGCAGGUAACUAGGACUAAGUCGUAACAAGGUAGCCGUACCGGAAGGUGCGGCUGGAUCACCUCCUUUCAGGGAGUAAUCUUCUUUAUUUUAAUAAAGUAAGAUAUGGUCGAAAUCUAAAUCUAUGAUUUGGAUUUUAAACUUCAGAAUUAAUAGACAGGUUCUACAUAGUGUUUUAUUUAGAGUUUAUAAAAGGGGCUUAUAGCUCAGCUGGUUAGAGCGCAUCUCUGAUAAGGAUGAGGUCCGUGGUUCGAGUCCACGUAGGCCCACCAAUUCAAAAAAAUUGGGGCUGUAGCUCAGUUGGGAGAGCAAUUCCCUUGCACGGAAUAGGUCGCAGGUUCAAUCCCUGUCAGCUCCACAAAAUUUAGAUUUUAGAUAUUUGACAAUUUGGAAAUUUAACGCGGGUAACAGAGUUAUGCUUUAUAUUUUUAUAACUCUGCUACUAAACAACUGUGUCAUAGCUAUUUAUGAUUUUAAUCCUGUAGCUGUGAUACAAAUCAAUUGUAUUGAUCAAAUCCUAAUUCCGAAUGGGGCAACCCAUUUUUUGAUCAAUAUUUGUAUUAAUUAGAAUAGUUUUCAAUUAUUCUGAUUAAUGCUGAAUCAUUAAAACACUCAAGUCAUAUAAGAACUUGAAAAAAGCUACUAAGAGCACACGGAGGAUGCCUUGGUACAUGGAGGCGAUGAAGGACGUGGUAAGCUGCGAUAAGCUUCGGGUAGGUGCACACAACUGCUAAUCCGGAGAUUUCCGAAUGGGGAAACCCAA